Monodelphis domestica (gray short-tailed opossum) is the source of this 1705-nucleotide long non-coding RNA. NCBI's taxonomy places the organism in Eukaryota, Metazoa, Chordata, Mammalia, Didelphimorphia, Didelphidae. The record is from Ensembl.
GUAUUAUCAACAUCCACCUCAGGGAGGAUAUUAGAUGUAUAUAAGGUGGAUAUUAGAUGUAUAUAAUGUAUAUAUAAAGUUCUUGUUUAUUUUUUUGUACAUAGUAACUAUAGGGUAAAUUUGGAUUAAUAUCUUUAGGUUUUUAUUUCUGUAGAGUAUAAUAAGAAUAGGUUCUUAUUUCUUUAGAGUAUAGUAAGAAUUUUAUAAUUCUAUAACUGUAAAUAUUUGUAAUUGUAUAUUAUUUGAGACUUGCAUGUUGUAAGAUUUGCUUUGCUUUCUUUCUUUCUCUCUUCACUUCUCCCUUCUAAUAUAGGACAGUUUUGUUGGAAAGAUCCAUUAGGGAGACUGGUCUCCCCAUUGGAUCUCAGGGGGAAUAUGUUAAUAGAAUUUUCUUAAUCUCUCUCUUUUUCUCUUUAAGAGGCAAGGGAGCAAAAUGAUUUCUGAGGAAGAGCCCCCCUGCUCUGCAGGCAGUCAGUUGAUGACAGGAGGGUGUAGCUGACAGUUGGUAGGUGAGUUGCAGGCAGUUGAAAGGGGUUUUUGUCUCUGGGUUCCCUAGAGAGCAGAGAUGUCUGUGUCUCUGAGACAAACUGGCAGUUGGAAAAAUAACUGACAGUGGGUAAAGAGAAAUGGAUAUAAGGAGGUGGAUUAAUUAAUGCUUAUUGAUUAACUUAGGUAGUUAGAUAGUGGGUGGUACAUUCUUAGAUAGACAGAGUAGGUAGAUAGGCUGGGCUUGACCUAGCAGAAGACACUGCCCUCAAAGGCAGAUAGAUUUAGGGCGUUUUUUAGAAAUUUUAGUUAGGAUUGGGAUUUUAGGUAUAGGUAUAAGAGUUCUCUCACUUUCUUCCUUUCUCUUCCUUUCUUUCUUUUUUAAAAACCCUUACCUUCCAUCUUGGAAUCAAUACUGGUUGGUUCCAAUACUUGGUUCCAAAGUAGAAGAGUGGUAAGGACUAGGCAAUGGGGAUUAAGUGACUUGCCUAGGGUUACCCAGCUGGGAAGUGUCUAAGGCCAGAUUUGAACCUAGGACCUCCCAUCUCUAGACCUGGCUCUCAAGUCUAUUUUUCUUCGCAGUAUUGUUGUUGUUAUAUAUAAAUUGUUCCAUUGGUUCUGCUCACUUAACUUUGCCUCCAUUCAUACAACUCUGUUCAGAUGUUUCUGAAUCCAUUUCCUUCAUCAUCCUAUUACAGCACAGCAGUAUUCCAUUCCAGGCAUAAACAAUAACUUGUUCAACCAUUCCCCAAUUUGGGUGCAUCCCUUGUUUAUAAUUCUUUGCUACCACAAGUGUUGCUAUAAAUAUUUUUGUAUAUAUAUGCCUUUUUUUCUCUUUGAUUUUUAGAGGUAUAGACCCAAUAAUAAUAUCACUGGGUCAAAGUGUAUUCAUAGUUUUAAUAGCUUUGGGGGCAUAAUUCCAACUUGCUUUCCAGAAUGGUGGGAUUAAUUCACAGCUCCACCAACAGUGCAUUAAAAGCACAAUCCUUCUAGCAUUUGUCGUUUUCCUUUUUUGGAGGGGUCAAUUUAGUGAAUCUUAUGGAAGUGAGGUGGGACCUCAGUCCUUUUUUUUAAUAUGUUAUUUUCCCAAUUUCAUGUAAAAACAAUUUUCCACAUGUUUUCUGAUGUUAUAAGAUCCAAAUUGUCUCCCUAAGAGAAUAUUCAUAUAAAACCAGAAUCCCAAAAUAAAAUCCCAAAUAAACUAAAGUGAAAAAUAGUA